This 424-nucleotide ribosomal RNA is filed under the name uncultured prokaryote. RNAcentral describes it as "bacterial SSU rRNA". It matches the Rfam family "Bacterial small subunit ribosomal RNA", at positions 355 to 796 of the family's 1533-position model. The record is from RNAcentral.
UAGGGAAUCUUGGACAAUGGGCGAAAGCCUGAUCCAGCCAUGCCGCGUGAGUGAAGAAGGCCUUAGGGUUGUAAAACUCUUUCAGCGGGGAAGAUAAUGACGGUACCCGCAGAAGAAGCCCCGGCUAACUCCGUGCCAGCAGCCGCGGUAAUACGGAGGGGGCUAGCGUUGCUCGGAAUUACUGGGCGUAAAGCGCACGUAGGCGGAUUGGUAAGUCGGGGGUGAAAGCCCGGAGCUCAACUCCGGAAAUGCCUUCGAUACUGCCAGUCUUGAGUCCGGGAGAGGUGAAUGGAAUUCCCAGUGUAGAGGUGAAAUUCGUAGAUAUUGGGAAGAACACCAGUGGCGAAGGCGAUUCACUGGCCCGGUACUGACGCUGAGGUGCGAAAGCGUGGGGAGCAAACAGGAUUAGAUACCCCUGUAGUCC